This 267-nucleotide ribosomal RNA is filed under the name uncultured bacterium. RNAcentral's name for it is "partial 16S ribosomal RNA". It matches the Rfam family "Bacterial small subunit ribosomal RNA", at positions 1234 to 1500 of the family's 1533-position model. The record is from RNAcentral.
CGUAAACAGAGGGAAGCGAGAUCGAGAGAUGGAGCAAAUCCCAAAAAUAACGUCCCAGUUCGGACUGUAGUCUGCAACCCGACUACACGAAGCUGGAAUCGCUAGUAAUCGCGGAUCAGAAUGCCGCGGUGAAUACGUUCCCGGGUCUUGUACACACCGCCCGUCACACCAUGGGAGUCAGUAACGCCCGAAGUCAGUGACCUAACCGAAAGGGGGGAGCUGCCGAAGGCGGGACGGAUGACUGGGGUGAAGUCGUAACAAGGUACC